Molecule: long non-coding RNA, 1678 nt
Filed under: Marmota monax (woodchuck)
Lineage: Eukaryota; Metazoa; Chordata; Mammalia; Rodentia; Sciuridae
Source: RNAcentral
GUCAGCCCCAGGGUCCACACCACCCAUUUCCUCCAGGCCAUGCAGAAGGUCCUGGCUCCCUCCCGCUGCUCCCUGUUCAGACCCCACAGCUCCAGUCACCCUGAAGUGCCUGGGUCUCCUGCGCCCAGCCCCCUCGCCACUCUCCCUAGCCCCUGCUCUAUGCCUCCCCACAGUGUGGAGUUCCACCAGAGGGAGGGGGCCCUGUGCCUGGGCCCUGGAGAUGGGCUGUGCCCAGGAGCCGAGUUCCUCACAAAGUCCUGAUUUCAGGGUGAGCCGCUCCCAGACCCCCGUCUCAAGUCAGGCCUCUGUGUCUGAGCUGCUGUACGUCAGGGUCCCUUCCCUGUGCCGGGAUGGCUCCUAGAGAUCUCACCAGUUCCAGCAUAUUAGACACUCUGUCUCCAAUGCCUAGCACACAGCUUGGCUUCUAGUGGGUGCUGGGCCGGAGGAGGUGCCAUGGGGGCUGAUGGAGUCCCUGGACUUUCACACACACCAGACCCAAGGCCACUCAGGGGCACAUGAACCAUCACUCAGGCCAGGCGCUUUGAAAGUGGCACUGUUGAUGGCUACGGCAGGAGGGCUGGGUACAGUGUCACUAGUAACGUUUGUUUGCAAACAUGGAACUGCAGAAAUUUUAUAUUUAUGAGAACAUGGGUUGAAGAAAGAAGAGCUACCAUGAUCCUAACCAGAAUUACAGUAGUCAUAAUGGCAGCGGGGCAUCGAGGUGGAUUUUCCUGAAGUCUGACUGAGGCCCUGGGGCGGGCUCUCGGCCAGCAAAGUACAGAAAGCUUCCAGGCCAGGCUCAGAGGUUUGCUUUCCCACUCGCCUCCCCAGGCUGCCACCAGACACCCUUUACUCUAAUCCCCCUGAAACCUGGACUUUGCUUGAGUGCACAGGGACUCCCACCCUCAUCUCCAUUCAGACACAAUGGGAGGCCGUGUUUGGCUAGCAACUGCCCUGGCCCCACAGCCAGACCAGGCCAGGAGAGCCGCUGCUUCAAGUGCCACUUCAUCAAACCCAGAGUGUAAGGAAGCGAUUGAACCCCAAAUAGUGGCUUCAUCCCAGAACAGGAGGCUCCAGUCCACCCGAGUCUGCCUGACAGGGGGUUCCCCUGGCUUUAACUUUGCGGAAAAAGUGACCUGCGGUAACUUGGUGAGCAAUUAGCUUUCUCCCUGUUUCUGUGUACCCACCUGAUGAGCUCACCGUUCUGCCCCUGCCUCGCAGGGAAAAGCCAGUUAGACCUAUGACCAAGCCCCUUCGGACAUUCUUUUGUGUGUGUGUAUGUGGGGGGGGGCGGUGCCAGGGACACUGGACCACGGAGCCACAUCCUCCAGUUGCUCACUUUUUGCUGAGGCUGGCUUUGAACUCAGGAUUGCCUGCCUCACCCUCCCGAGCUGCUGAGAUUACAGGCAGGCACCACCCUGCCCAGCAGGACGUCCCUUGACACAGCAGUGUGGUGGGAACUGUCUUCUGGGCAGAGCGCCAUCCAGUGCCUGCUGGACGUGUGUCUCCUGAGCCCUCGAGAUGCCACUGGUGAGACUCAGGAACCCCACUGUACGUUGUCUGAUCUGGGUCAGUGCCGCAGUCUGGCUGGGCACGAAUAACCGAGCCGCCACAAAGCCCUGUAGGUUCUCAACAGGUCAGUUUAAAUGGCUUUGACAAAGCUGGACCUCCUCCUCUG